GUCGCCUCCUAAAAGGUAACGGAGGCGCUCAAAGGUUCCCUCAGAAUGGUUGGAAAUCAUUCAUAGAGUGUAAAGGCAUAAGGGAGCUUGACUGCGAGACCUACAAGUCGAGCAGGGUCGAAAGACGGACUUAGUGAUCCGGUGGUUCCGCAUGGAAGGGCCAUCGCUCAACGGAUAAAAGCUACCCCGGGGAUAACAGGCUUAUCUCCCCCAAGAGUUCACAUCGACGGGGAGGUUUGGCACCUCGAUGUCGGCUCAUCGCAUCCUGGGGCUGUAGUCGGUCCCAAGGGUUGGGCUG
RNAcentral lists this ribosomal RNA (298 nucleotides) under Staphylococcus aureus. RNAcentral's name for it is "partial 23S ribosomal RNA". It matches the Rfam family "Bacterial large subunit ribosomal RNA", at positions 2282 to 2579 of the family's 2925-position model. Lineage: Bacteria; Bacillati; Bacillota; Bacilli; Caryophanales; Staphylococcaceae. The record is from RNAcentral.